GUAGGAUGCAAGCGUUAUCCGGAUUUACUGGGUGUAAAGGGAGCGCAGGCGGGACUGCAAGUUGGAUGUGAAAUACCGUGGCUUAACCACGGAACUGCAUCCAAAACUGUAGUUCUUGAGUGAAGUAGAGGCAAGCGGAAUUCCGAGUGUAGCGGUGAAAUGCGUAGAUAUUCGGAGGAACACCAGUGGCGAAGGCGGCUUGCUGGGCUUUAACUGACGCUGAGGCUCGAAAGUGUGGGGAGCAAACAGGAUUAGAUACCCUGGUAGUCCACACUGUAAACGAUGAUAGCUAGGUGUUGGGGGUCUGACCCCUUCCGUGCCGGAGUUAACGCAAUAAGCUAUCCACCUGGGGAGU
This 355-nucleotide ribosomal RNA is filed under the name uncultured bacterium. Its description in RNAcentral is "bacterial SSU rRNA". It matches the Rfam family "Bacterial small subunit ribosomal RNA", at positions 527 to 881 of the family's 1533-position model. The record is from RNAcentral.